Molecule: long non-coding RNA, 2510 nt
Organism: Vulpes vulpes (red fox)
Lineage: Eukaryota; Metazoa; Chordata; Mammalia; Carnivora; Canidae
Source: Ensembl
CCCAGGCUGACAGAUUCUCCCCAAAGCCCAGCAUGGGUCCUUCCAGGCUGUCCUUUCAUAUAAAGAUGCUGCCUCGCGACGACCGCCUGGCCUCCGGUGGUCCUGUGGCCCUUUCCAGGAUCGAGGCUCCAGGAAGGCUCGGGAGCCACUGCAGGCCGCACCGUGACCCCGCCCACCCCCAGCCGCACCCCAUGUCCACCAGGAGCCCAGAGGCCCCAGCCACCCGCCUUCCCCGGGGGCCAGGGGAGCCAGCUGUCUGCAGCAGUCAGAGGUGCCGUUCUCAAGCGCGGGGCUGGGACCCAGCCCCCGAACCCCAAUCCCAAUGCCGCAGGCCCGCGUCCCUUAGCCUCCGGGUGCCUCGGCACCCUCACCUGUGAAAUGGGAAACUCUGAGCACGGCAGUAAGGCUCGGGAGCAUUAACAGCAGAUCCUGGCAAGUGUCAAUGCUCAGCGCCUGUCCCCGUCCCCGUCCCGCAGUGGAAGGAGCCAUCGGGGAGCGGCGUAGCCCACCGCACCAGCAGCACCUGCCGCCCGCCACGCACCACUCCCAGCUCCGGCCCCACGGCCCCCCUGAGCCCUCACAACCUUAGUAUCUGUUGGCUCAGCUCGGGGAGGUGGCCUGCGUCCGGCCUCUCGGUGUCGGCUGUGGGGUGCGGGUACAGGGUCCGUGCAGGGAGGCACCCAGCGGGGCAGGAGCCCACCAUGCGGGGUCACGGGCCUCCCCUCAGACGGGCGCGGCACCUGAAAGCAAGCAGAGUGGCCUACCUGGGCUGUGGGGUGUGGGCCUCACUGGGGCCCGAGAGGGGAACGGCCCUGGACCCGACCCCGCAGGCGCCUGGGCACUUGGAGGCAGCCUAGAGGCUUCAGCCUCCCGCCGUUUGAGUCACCAAGGGGCAGGUGCCGGUGGCGUCCACCUGGAGGGUCCCCAGCGCACAGGCCCGACCACUGCAGGUGGUCUGCAUGUCCUGGCACCGUCGUACUCAUGCAGAUGCUCCAAGCCGGCUUCCCGCUCCCGAGGAUGGGAGCCCUGCCGCACGCGCCCGAACCUGCAGGGCGAAUGGGCCCCAUGAAGAUCCCCGAGGAGCAGCCGCUGGAGGACGGCAUCGCCCCAAAGCUCCACGUCUUGAUUCGGGUCCGGGUCGGCCCAGGGACGCAGGGCUCAAAGCUCAGUGCCCGGGGUCUACAUGUCAUCGCCCAUCGGGGGAAAGCCCUGGGAAGCCGUGAGAGGGAAGCAGGUGGAGGAGGCACGCGCACCCCAAGUCCACGCUUGCAGGGAGCACAGCGCACGCACACCAGUAGCCGUCGAAGCAGGAUUGGGACGACGGAACAUCCUCGCAAAUGCUCAGCAGCCGCGAGCACACACACGAACAGACUCUACAGACAAAGGGCCAAGCGCUGGCACGUGGGCAACCGCAAGGCUGCCAUUCCGGGAGCUGUGGGCAGGGCCCCGGAGGCCACGCUGGCUGGGCCGAGAACCAGGCCCGGCAUCACCGACACGCUCACUGGACAUGCGGCCCCAGCCUUCGGAAUCGGAGCGGACCCCGGGGUUAGCUGUCCGCCCGUUCACGUCUGCAAAGCAUCCCCCUAGACCCCCGUUUAUCCGUCUUCUGCAACCCGGGGGCCCCUCAUGAUCCACGUGAGAUGAUCGCUUCCUCCUCUGACGUUUAAAAUCGUUGCAAGAAUUGAAUACGAGUGAAAGCAAUGCUGGUUCUGAAGCUGUUUCUCCCACUGAGUGCAAGCGUCCGCUCUGGCUCCUCACCCGGCACGUUGAAAGCGGCGCCACCUCCCCAACUCCAGGGGUCAAGGCCGAGGCUACGGCAAGCCCCCCAGGUGGAGAAUGAAUUAUCUAAAGAGCCUCAACCUCCCGGGUUGGGGGGGCGGGAGGAGGCAGGGGCAAUGCAUGGCCCCGGGGUGGAGGGGGGCAGUCCGAGAAGCCCCGGCUUCUGCACGGACCCCUCCAGAGGCAGGAAGCAGGGAGCCCCAUUCCAGGGACAGGCAGGUGUCAGCAACGACUCAAAGCCCGCCGCCCGGUCAUGUCGGUCUCACUGCCCGCGUGCGGCCCCCGAUGGCAGCUCUGUAGCCCUUUCCCGGGCCCCUGACAACAGCCAUCGCUUCCCCCGAGGGCCUCCUUGCUCCAAGCAAACACCCCAAAGUCCUUCCGUGUCCAUCUGGCAACAUGAACGGGAUAUCCCUUCGGAGUCCUACUCGCUCUCCCUCGUAAAAACCCGCAUCUGUCACUGUCCCUCUACGGACACGGCCGGGAGGGAACAUGCUUAAGCUCUGGGCUUUUCUUUUACACCCAACUUUGUCUCCACUGAAAAAUGCAUUCUUAGGGGGCACCCGGGUGGUUCAGCGGUUUAGCGCCACCUUCGACCCAGGUCAUGACCCUGGAGUCCCGGGAUCCAGUCCCGCGCCGGGCUCCCGGCAUGGAGCCUGCUUCUCCCUCUGCCUGUGUCUCUGCCUCUCUCUCUCUCUCAUGAAUAAAAAAAUAAAAUAUUUUUUAAAAAUGCA